GACGAACGCUGGCGGCAGGCCUAACACAUGCAAGUCGAACGAGAAAUCACCUUCGGGUGAGAGUAGAGUGGCGCACGGGUGAGUAACGCGUGGGAACGUACCUUUAGGUGUGGAAUAGCUCCGGGAAACUGGAAUUAAUACCGCAUAAUGUCUCCGGACCAAAGAUUUAUCGCCUAAAGAUCGGCCCGCGUUAGAUUAGUUUGUUGGUGGGGUAAUGGCCUACCAAGACUACGAUCUAUAGCUGGUUUGAGAGGAUGAUCAGCCACACUGGAACUGAGACACGGUCCAGACUCCUACGGGAGGCAGCAGUGGGGAAUAUUGGACAAUGGGGGAAACCCUGAUCCAGCCAUGCCGCGUGAGUGAUGAAGGCCCUAGGGUUGUAAAACUCUUUCAACGGUGAAGAUGAUGACGGUAACCGUAGAAGAAGCCCCGGCUAACUUCG
This 442-nucleotide ribosomal RNA is filed under the name uncultured Alphaproteobacteria bacterium. Its description in RNAcentral is "bacterial SSU rRNA". It matches the Rfam family "Bacterial small subunit ribosomal RNA", at positions 28 to 505 of the family's 1533-position model. Lineage: Bacteria; Pseudomonadati; Pseudomonadota; Alphaproteobacteria. The record is from RNAcentral.